GGGUGAGUAACACGUGGGUAACCUGCCCCUUAGACUGGGAUAACAUUCGGAAACGGAUGCUAAUACCGGAUACACAACUUGGUCGCAUGGCCGAGUUGGGAAAGACGGAGCAAUCUGUCACUAAGGGAUGGACCUGCGGCGCAUUAGCUAGUUGGUGAGGUAACGGCUCACCAAGGCGACGAUGCGUAGCCGACCUGAGAGGGUGAUCGGCCACACUGGGACUGAGACACGGCCCAGACUCCUACGGGAGGCAGCAGUAGGGAAUCUUCCGCAAUGGACGAAAGUCUGACGGAGCAACGCCGCGUGAGUGAUGAAGGUUUUCGGAUCGUAAAGCUCUGUUGCCAGGGAAGAAUGCUUGGGAGAGUAACUGCUCUCAAGGUGACGGUACCUGAGAAGAAAGCCCCGGCUAACUACGUGCCAGCAGCCGCGGUAAUACGUAGGGGGCAAGCGUUGUCCGGAAUUAUUGGGCGUAAAGCGCGCGCAGGCGGCCUUGUAAGUCUGUUGUUUAAACUCGGAGCUCAACUCCGAGUCGCAAUGGAAACUGCAAAGCUUGAGUGCAG
This 560-nucleotide ribosomal RNA is filed under the name Exiguobacterium sp. T2B1c.6-B. Its description in RNAcentral is "bacterial SSU rRNA". It matches the Rfam family "Bacterial small subunit ribosomal RNA", at positions 104 to 651 of the family's 1533-position model. Lineage: Bacteria; Bacillati; Bacillota; Bacilli; Caryophanales. The record is from RNAcentral.